Molecule: unclassified non-coding RNA, 234 nt
Filed under: Hevea brasiliensis (rubber tree)
Lineage: Eukaryota; Viridiplantae; Streptophyta; Magnoliopsida; Malpighiales; Euphorbiaceae
Source: RNAcentral
GAUCUGAUUAUGGAUUUUCAGUCCCAUGUACCUUCCCAGCAUCAUAACUGUGGCCUGAGGAUUAGUCCCAGGUGAAAAUUUGAAGGUUGAUCCAUCAAUAACCCUAAUUCCAUCAACACCCAUAACCUUGUAAUCUUCAUCAACCACCUUCCCUACCUGGCACCCGCCAUGGUAGUGCCAUACAGUCACCACACUCUCAUUACAGUACUGCUCCAGCGUCAAACUACCCUGAUU